Molecule: non-coding RNA, 100 nt
Organism: Zopfochytrium polystomum
Lineage: Eukaryota; Fungi; Chytridiomycota; Chytridiomycetes; Chytridiales; Chytridiaceae
Source: the annotation of a GenBank genome assembly
GCCCGGUUAGCUCAGUUUGGUAGAGCGUGAGACUUUUAGGGCUCGGAAAACGGCCGAGAAAGGCAUCUUAAGGUCGUGGGUUCGACCCCCACAUCGGGCG